AUAUAUACAUGAAAAUGUUGAAAUCUUUGAUGAAACAACAAUAAUUAUUCAAACUUGUGCCGUGAACGAAUCAUGUCAUCUUUCGUAUAUUCUUUAAUAAUAAUUUCCUAACACCUGCAUAGCAAAAUAUGGGUUCGCUCGUUGACACAACAGUCUUCUAAAUCUUAUUUCACUUUAAUAUGAUUAGUGCUCGCACGUACUUCUACUUGGUUUGCUAAGGUAAAUAAUCAAAAAAGUCAUUUAAAAAUUUUUUUAAGUAACGUUAAUAAAAAAUUGAAAAAAGAAACGCAUUUGACAAAUAAGCAACGUAUGUAAAUCAUUUUUGCAAACUCGGCUUGAAACUGAGCAGCAUUCGUUCCGCGUUUACAUUUGCAAAUUCCUUGUGUAAAAAAGACCGCACCCUGUACAUCAAAAUCCAUUAAAAGUUUCGGAUAAACGCGAAAGAUUAAUAUUUUUCAAAGAAAAAUAACUCUCUUGCACACUUGCAAGCAAUUACAUAAAUAUU
Long non-coding RNA from Glossina fuscipes, 505 nucleotides. RefSeq lists it as uncharacterized. The record is from RefSeq and is a predicted model, not a curated record. Lineage: Eukaryota; Metazoa; Arthropoda; Insecta; Diptera; Glossinidae. The transcript is spliced from 2 exons.